Molecule: long non-coding RNA, 464 nt
Organism: Polyodon spathula (Mississippi paddlefish)
Lineage: Eukaryota; Metazoa; Chordata; Actinopteri; Acipenseriformes; Polyodontidae
Exons: 3
Source: RefSeq, a predicted model, not a curated record
GAGAGAGGAGAGAGAGAGAAACUGCAGCUAGGGGAGUACUAUGAGGUGCUGGAGCACUGCUCCUCUAUACUGAACAAAUACGAAGGUGAGAGAGAGAGAGAGAGAGAGAAACUGCAGCUAGGGGAGUACUAUGAGGUGCUGGAGCACUGCUCCUCUAUACUGAACAAAUACGAAGGAGAGAGAGAGAGAGAGAGAGAGAAACUGCAGCUAGGGGAGUACUAUGAGGUGCUGGAGCACUGCUCCUCUAUACUGAACAAAUACGAAGGUGAGAGAGAGAGAGAGAGAGAGAGAAACUGCAGCUAGGGGAGUACUAUGAGGUGCUGGAGCACUGCUCCUCUAUACUGAACAAAUACGAAGGUGAGAGAGAGAGAGAGGAGAGAGAGAGAGAAACUGCAGCUAGGGGAGUACUAUGAGGUGCUGGAGCACUGCUCCUCUAUACUGAACAAAUACGAAGGAGAGAGAGA